Molecule: ribosomal RNA, 2429 nt
Filed under: Escherichia coli
Lineage: Bacteria; Pseudomonadati; Pseudomonadota; Gammaproteobacteria; Enterobacterales; Enterobacteriaceae
Description: bacterial LSU rRNA
Rfam family: Bacterial large subunit ribosomal RNA
Source: RNAcentral
UGUGAGCUCGAUGAGUAGGGCGGGACACGUGGUAUCCUGUCUGAAUAUGGGGGGACCAUCCUCCAAGGCUAAAUACUCCUGACUGACCGAUAGUGAACCAGUACCGUGAGGGAAAGGCGAAAAGAACCCCGGCGAGGGGAGUGAAAAAGAACCUGAAACCGUGUACGUACAAGCAGUGGGAGCACGCUUCGGCGUGUGACUGCGUACCUUUUGUAUAAUGGGUCAGCGACUUAUAUUCUGUAGCAAGGUUAACCGAAUAGGGGAGCCGAAGGGAAACCGAGUCUUAACUGGGCGUUAAGUUGCAGGGUAUAGACCCGAAACCCGGUGAUCUAGCCAUGGGCAGGUUGAAGGUUGGGUAACACUAACUGGAGGACCGAACCGACUAAUGUUGAAAAAUUAGCGGAUGACUUGUGGCUGGGGGUGAAAGGCCAAUCAAACCGGGAGAUAGCUGGUUCUCCCCGAAAGCUAUUUAGGUAGCGCCUCGUGAAUUCAUCUCCGGGGGUAGAGCACUGUUUCGGCAAGGGGGUCAUCCCGACUUACCAACCCGAUGCAAACUGCGAAUACCGGAGAAUGUUAUCACGGGAGACACACGGCGGGUGCUAACGUCCGUCGUGAAGAGGGAAACAACCCAGACCGCCAGCUAAGGUCCCAAAGUCAUGGUUAAGUGGGAAACGAUGUGGGAAGGCCCAGACAGCCAGGAUGUUGGCUUAGAAGCAGCCAUCAUUUAAAGAAAGCGUAAUAGCUCACUGGUCGAGUCGGCCUGCGCGGAAGAUGUAACGGGGCUAAACCAUGCACCGAAGCUGCGGCAGCGACGCUGAUGCGUUGUUGGGUAGGGGAGCGUUCUGUAAGCCUGCGAAGGUGUGCUGUGAGGCAUGCUGGAGGUAUCAGAAGUGCGAAUGCUGACAUAAGUAACGAUAAAGCGGGUGAAAAGCCCGCUCGCCGGAAGACCAAGGGUUCCUGUCCAACGUUAAUCGGGGCAGGGUGAGUCGACCCCUAAGGCGAGGCCGAAAGGCGUAGUCGAUGGGAAACAGGUUAAUAUUCCUGUACUUGGUGUUACUGCGAAGGGGGGACGGAGAAGGCUAUGUUGGCCGGGCGACGGUUGUCCCGGUUUAAGCGUGUAGGCUGGUUUUCCAGGCAAAUCCGGAAAAUCAAGGCUGAGGCGUGAUGACGAGGCACUACGGUGCUGAAGCAACAAAUGCCCUGCUUCCAGGAAAAGCCUCUAAGCAUCAGGUAACAUCAAAUCGUACCCCAAACCGACACAGGUGGUCAGGUAGAGAAUACCAAGGCGCUUGAGAGAACUCGGGUGAAGGAACUAGGCAAAAUGGUGCCGUAACUUCGGGAGAAGGCACGCUGAUAUGUAGGUGAAGUCCCUCGCGGAUGGAGCUGAAAUCAGUCGAAGAUACCAGCUGGCUGCAACUGUUUAUUAAAAACACAGCACUGUGCAAACACGAAAGUGGACGUAUACGGUGUGACGCCUGCCCGGUGCCGGAAGGUUAAUUGAUGGGGUCAGCGCAAGCGAAGCUCUUGAUCGAAGCCCCGGUAAACGGCGGCCGUAACUAUAACGGUCCUAAGGUAGCGAAAUUCCUUGUCGGGUAAGUUCCGACCUGCACGAAUGGCGUAAUGAUGGCCAGGCUGUCUCCACCCGAGACUCAGUGAAAUUGAACUCGCUGUGAAGAUGCAGUGUACCCGCGGCAAGACGGAAAGACCCCGUGAACCUUUACUAUAGCUUGACACUGAACAUUGAGCCUUGAUGUGUAGGAUAGGUGGGAGGCUUGGAAGUGUGGACGCCAGUCUGCAUGGAGCCGACCUUGAAAUACCACCCUUUAAUGUUUGAUGUUCUAACGUUGACCCGUAAUCCGGGUUGCGGACAGUGUCUGGUGGGUAGUUUGACUGGGGCGGUCUCCUCCUAAAGAGUAACGGAGGAGCACGAAGGUUGGCUAAUCCUGGUCGGACAUCAGGAGGUUAGUGCAAUGGCAUAAGCCAGCUUGACUGCGAGCGUGACGGCGCGAGCAGGUGCGAAAGCAGGUCAUAGUGAUCCGGUGGUUCUGAAUGGAAGGGCCAUCGCUCAACGGAUAAAAGGUACUCCGGGGAUAACAGGCUGAUACCGCCCAAGAGUUCAUAUCGACGGCGGUGUUUGGCACCUCGAUGUCGGCUCAUCACAUCCUGGGGCUGAAGUAGGUCCCAAGGGUAUGGCUGUUCGCCAUUUAAAGUGGUACGCGAGCUGGGUUUAGAACGUCGUGAGACAGUUCGGUCCCUAUCUGCCGUGGGCGCUGGAGAACUGAGGGGGGCUGCUCCUAGUACGAGAGGACCGGAGUGGACGCAUCACUGGUGUUCGGGUUGUCAUGCCAAUGGCACUGCCCGGUAGCUAAAUGCGGAAGAGAUAAGUGCUGAAAGCAUCUAAGCACGAAACUUGCCCCGAGAUGAGUUCU